GAUGAACGCUGGCGGCGUGCCUAAUACAUGCAAGUCGAGCGAACAGACGAGGAGCUUGCUCCUCUGACGUUAGCGGCGGAGGGGUGAGUAACAAGUGGAUAACCCACCUAUAAGACUGUGAUACCUUGGGAACACCGCAGAUAAUACCGGAUACAACAUUUAACCGUCGGGUCAAAUGGUGAAACAAUGUCUUCUUGUCAUUUACAUACGGCUGGACGCCGCAUUGGCUGGUUGGUAAGGUACCGGCGUACCAAGGCAACGAUGCAUAGCUCACCUGAGAGGGUGAGCGGCCACACUGGAACAGAGACACGGACCAAACGCCUAGGGGAGGAAGCGAGAGAGAAUCAUGCGCUAUGGGCGAAAGCCUGACGGAGCGACGCCGCAUGGGUGAUGAAGGUCUGCGGAGCGUAAAACUCUGUUAUUAGGGAAGAACAAAUGUGUAAGUAACUAUGCACGUCUUGACGGUACCUAAUCAGAAAGCCACGGCUAACUACGUG
RNAcentral lists this ribosomal RNA (497 nucleotides) under uncultured bacterium. Its description in RNAcentral is "partial 16S ribosomal RNA". It matches the Rfam family "Bacterial small subunit ribosomal RNA", at positions 28 to 507 of the family's 1533-position model. The record is from RNAcentral.